This is a long non-coding RNA of Vidua chalybeata, 446 nucleotides long. RefSeq lists it as uncharacterized. The transcript has 3 exons. The record is from RefSeq and is a predicted model, not a curated record. NCBI's taxonomy places the organism in Eukaryota, Metazoa, Chordata, Aves, Passeriformes, Viduidae.
CCCAUCGUCCGGACCACUGAGGAUCUCGCCUGUGUUGAAGAACUCCGAGGGACAUGAAGACCACCUAAUCCAUGAUCAAACUGGCUUGGACAACCUGGCUGCGACAGUGGAACCCUCCUAAAAAGCGGGUGCCAAGAGACAUAACUGGUGUUGUGGGAACAGAAUUGGGAAUCAGUUCAGAGGUAUUAAUGAAUAAAUUGGCUUCUACGACUAGAGAUUUGACCAAAAUACAGCAACCACUGCAGUCGUCCUUAUCGGCCUUGGGAACACAUCAGUGCUUGCUAUCAAACAUUCUACCAAAUUGGGAAAAGAUAAAUGUGAAGGAUAAAAAAUUGAUCAUUGAUGCACUUAAUGCCACGCAAAGCAAUGUUUCCUUAGCUCUUAGCUGUAUCCAGGCUCAAUUAUGGAUGCAGUCAGUUGCUGCCUCAAUUAUAAGAGAAGGUGAA